AAGAGUAGCUUAAAAUUAAAGCAUCUGACCUACAAUCAGAAUAUAUUAUAUUAUAAUCUCUCUGA
RNAcentral lists this transfer RNA (65 nucleotides) under Epictia goudotii. RNAcentral describes it as "tRNA-Val". It matches the Rfam family "tRNA". Rfam says of the family: Transfer RNA (tRNA) molecules are approximately 80 nucleotides in length. The record is from RNAcentral. Lineage: Eukaryota; Metazoa; Chordata; Lepidosauria; Squamata; Leptotyphlopidae.